AAUAGAUACCCGGGUAGUCCACGCCGUAAACGAUGAGUGCUAGGUGUUGGGGGGACCCCCCUCAGUGCCGCAGGUAACCCAAUAAGCACUCCGCCUGGGGAGUACGGUCGCAAGACUGAAACUCAAAGGAAUUGACGGGGGCCCGCACAAGCGGUGGAGCAUGUGGUUUAAUUCGAAGCAACGCGAAGAACCUUACCAGGGCUUGACAUCCCGCUGACCGGUGUAGAGAUAUGCCUUUCCCCUUCGGGGGGACAGCGGUGACAGGUGGUGCAUGGUUGUCGUCAGCUCGUGUCGUGAGAUGUUGGGUUCAGUCCCGCAACGAGCGCAACCCUUGUUUCUAGUUGCCAGCACUUCGGGGUGGGCACUCUAGAGAGACAGCCGGUGAAAGCCGGAGGAAGGUGGGGAUGACGUCAAAUCAUCAUGCCCCUUAUGUCCUGGGCUACACACGUGCUACAAUGGCUGGUACAAAGGGCAGCGAACCCGCGAGGGGGAGCCAAUACCCAAAAAACCGAGUCUCAGUUCGGAUUGCAGGCUGCAACUCG
Molecule: ribosomal RNA, 542 nt
Filed under: uncultured bacterium
Lineage: Bacteria
Description: bacterial SSU rRNA
Rfam family: Bacterial small subunit ribosomal RNA
Source: RNAcentral